Molecule: long non-coding RNA, 723 nt
Organism: Fukomys damarensis (Damara mole-rat)
Lineage: Eukaryota; Metazoa; Chordata; Mammalia; Rodentia; Bathyergidae
Exons: 3
Source: RefSeq, a predicted model, not a curated record
CUCUAAGUUGAGCUAUUGCUCCUUUUGGCAGGCAAUACCAUAUCUGGCUUUUCAAUGUCCUCUAUGGAUUAUACCUCAGGACAGCAGAAAGGUUUGAGGGCUACGCACCUUUCCAGGGUACUUUACAUCAAUAACUCCCCUGCCCUACUUCAUCUGUGCUGGAAAUUGAAACAAUGACCUCACCUCUAGCAAGUGCUCCACUGCUAAGCUACAAAGCUGUGAAGCCUUAUCCUUCAAAGUACAAACUCUAAGAGCUUGUUUGAGUGCAGAAUCUCAGACUCAACCUGAUAACUACUAAGUCAGAAUCUGCAUUUUCAUAAGAUCCCCACCUGGUUUACAGGCAGCUUAGAUUUUUGGAUCCCCUGAUCUGAAGCACAAGCAGUAAACAUUAGAAAAUAAUCAAAUCAAAAUUUUAAAUUAUAAUUAUUGCUACAGUUAAAGUGCAUUAGAACUAAGCAAAGUGGCAAGGAACUGUAUUCCAGCAAAUCAGGAGGCUGAAGUAAGAAGAUCACAAGCUUGAGGCCAGCCUAGACCAUUUAACAGGACUUUGUCUCAAAAUUAUUAUUAUUUUUAAUUUUUUGAAAGGACUGGGAUUGUAGCUAAGUGGUACAGCAUCCCUGGGGUUGAACACCAGUACUGCAAAACUAACAAACCAACCAACAGAAAGGAAGGGUGGAAGGAAGGAAGGAAGAAAGGGAGGGAGGGGAGGAAAGGGAGAGAGAG